Molecule: ribosomal RNA, 429 nt
Filed under: Bacteroidota bacterium
Lineage: Bacteria; Pseudomonadati; Bacteroidota
Description: Bacteroidetes bacterium partial 16S ribosomal RNA
Rfam family: Bacterial small subunit ribosomal RNA
Source: RNAcentral
UAGGGAAUCUUCCGCAAUGGGCGAAAGCCUGACGGAGCAACGCCGCGUGAGUGAUGAAGGUCUUCGGAUCGUAAAACUCUGUUAUUAGGGAAGAACAAAUGUGUAAGUAACUAUGCACAUCUUGACGGUACCUAAUCAGAAAGCCACGGCUAACUACGUGCCAGCAGCCGCGGUAAUACGUAGGUGGCAAGCGUUGUCCGGAUUUAUUGGGCGUAAAGCGAGCGCAGGCGGUCAAUUAAGUCUGAUGUGAAAGCCCCCGGCUCAACCGGGGAGGGUCAUUGGAAACUGGCUGACUUGAGUGCAGAAGAGGAGAGUGGAAUUCCAUGUGUAGCGGUGAAAUGCGUAGAUAUAUGGAGGAACACCAGUGGCGAAGGCGACUCUCUGGUCUGUAACUGACGCUGAGGUUCGAAAGCGUGGGUAGCAAACAGG